Molecule: ribosomal RNA, 844 nt
Filed under: Lambertella advenula
Lineage: Eukaryota; Fungi; Ascomycota; Leotiomycetes; Helotiales; Rutstroemiaceae
Description: LSU rRNA
Rfam family: Eukaryotic large subunit ribosomal RNA
Source: RNAcentral
UGCCUCAGUAACGGCGAGUGAAGCGGCAAAAGCUCAAAUUUGAAAUCUGGCCCUUUCAGGGUCCGAGUUGUAAUUUGUAGAAGAUGCUUCGGGCGUGGUGCCGGUCUAAGUUCCUUGGAACAGGACGUCAUAGAGGGUGAGAAUCCCGUAUGUGACUGGCCACCUACGCCCAUGUGAAGCUCUUUCGACGAGUCGAGUUGUUUGGGAAUGCAGCUCAAAAUGGGUGGUAAAUUUCAUCUAAAGCUAAAUAUUGGCCAGAGACCGAUAGCGCACAAGUAGAGUGAUCGAAAGAUGAAAAGCACUUUGGAAAGAGAGUUAAACAGUACGUGAAAUUGUUGAAAGGGAAGCGCUUGCAAUCAGACUUGCGCCUGGGCGAUCAUCCGGGGUUCUCCCCGGUGCACUCGUUCAGGCUCAGGCCAGCAUCGGUUUCGGUGGUGGGAUAAAGGCCCCAGGAACGUAGCCCCUCUCGGGGGGUGUUAUAGCCUGGGGUGCAAUGCCGCCUACCGGGACCGAGGACCGCGCUUCGGCUAGGAUGCUGGCGUAAUGGUUGUAAGCGACCCGUCUUGAAACACGGACCAAGGAGUCUAACAUCUAUGCGAGUGUUUGGGUGUCAAACCCAUACGCGUAAUGAAAGUGAACGGAGGUGAGAACCCUUUAGGGUGCAUCAUCGACCGGUCUUGAAGCUUGCGGAUGGAUCUGAGUAAGAGCAUAGCUGUUGGGACCCGAAAGAUGGUGAACUAUGCGUGAAUAGGGUGAAGCCAGAGGAAACUCUGGUGGAGGCUCGCAGCGGUUCUGACGUGCAAAUCGAUCGUCAAAUUUGCGUAUAGGGGCGAAAGACUAAUCG